This 5540-nucleotide long non-coding RNA is filed under the name Equus asinus (donkey). Its description in RNAcentral is "lncRNA (ENSEASG00005034948.1)". The record is from RNAcentral. Lineage: Eukaryota; Metazoa; Chordata; Mammalia; Perissodactyla; Equidae.
AAAAAAUGGAGAUCUUGAAUGUGCUCCGUCCAUUACACUCGACCGUGUGAGCGCGCUGCGCAAGCCCGGGGCAGACGGCCUGCUCCGCCGUUUGUUUUUACAACAAGCUUUGCAGCCUCGCGGGCUGAGAGGAUUCUGGUUAAAGGGUGUACACUGUGAAUCACAGUUUCAAAGGAAGACGGCAAAUACAAACCGCAGCCAAGCCAUUUGUAAACCUGGAUUGCUGACAGAAAUCCAGGAAGCAGCAGAAAAACAACCAAACACAAAAACACAGUGAAGAGCCUGGAUUCUAAGCUGCGUGUUAUGGGCUGAAUUGUGUUCGCCCAAAAUUUGUAUGUCGAAGCUCUAACCUCCAGGACGUCAACGUGACUGUGUUUGGAGACAGAGUCUUUACAGACGUAACUAAGUUAAAUGAGGUCUCUGGGGGGCGGAGGAGCCCUGGUCCAGUGUGAGGGGUGUCUCUUUAAGAAGAGGAAAUGAGGACACAGACACACAGAGAAGACCAUAGGGAGUGACAGGGAGGAGACGGCCGGCCGUGCAAACCGAGGAGAGAGGCCCCGGGGGAACCCAGCCCUGCCCACGCCUGGCUGUCGGACUCUGGCCGCCGGAGCAGCGAGGACAUCAGUGUCUGCUGUUGAAGCCCCGGCCGCGCUGCCCGCUCCGCCCGGCGGGGCCCGGCGCCCCACGCCACCUGCCGCCCCAGCUCCGCCGCGGGGGCCUCGCCGCGCCGCCUCCCUCCGGGCUGCCCCUUCUUCACCGAGGGCGACGCCCCCCGGGACUUGGGGUCACACUGCGCCUGCUCUAGCGUCACAGGAGCACUGUUGGCUGGAAGCCUCUGUCCCCGUGUCCCUCCUCGCCCUGGACGUGGCUCCCUGCGGCGGCCCCGCAUCUUCGCCUUCUCCGCGCGCGGGCGCCGGGCGCACCGAGGGCGCUCACGGGGCUCGUGGGUGCAGCGCGGAACGGGAACGGGACGGUGUAGCGAGCAUCACCCAAGUACAACUCUGGGAAAGUACGAGCUUGAACUGCUACAGCGAUCGUGUGGGAAGGGGGUGACCUCCCUCAGAUGUUUGACCGCCGCCGGGUCCACGCCAUCUUCACUCAGCACACGCUUGCUGAAUGCCUGUCUGCGCUGGGCACUGGGGAGAGUGAACAAGACUCUUCUGUGAGGCCCUCAUUCUUGUGAGAGGAGACAACGAACGGGAAAGUACCAGAUAGUACCAUGAGUGUGCAAUGAAAUACUUGAUGUAGGUUAUGGGAUAGACAGUAGUCGGGGCUCCUUUAGACUGAGUGCUCUGGGAUGCCCCAUCUGAGGAGCUGGCAUUGGAGCUGCACCCUGAUGACAAGAUGCAGACACAUGGAAAUCGUAAGGAAGAGCAUUCCAGAAGGAGGGAAUAGAAAGUGCAGAGGCCCAUGCAAGAACACGGGAACAGAAGGGAGGCCAGUGUGGCUCGGGUGUAGCAGGCGCCAGGGAGUUAAGUGUGGGCAGGCGGAGGGCAGGUGACGUCCCGUCAUGGUGAGCGGAUCGUGACAUAAGAUCAAAUGAGGUUUUUAUUCCAGAUGUGGUGGAAAGUCACUUAAGGGUUUUAAAAAGAGGAGCGGCACGAUCUGACUCGUAUUUUUAAAAAGAUCAUCUGGCUCCUGCAUGGAGAAUGGAUGGGGGUGGGAUGGUGAGGGCAAGGGAGAAAACAAGGAGCCCAACUAUGAGGCUGCAGGAAUCCAGGCCCCAGAAGGUAGCGCUUGCAGAGGAUCUGGUGAGAACUGGGCAGAUUCAGGGUGAGCUUUGCGAGUGGAGUCCAUAAACCGUGAGGGUGUGGGAAAGGAGGACGCAGGGUGAUUUUCAGGUUUGUGGCUUGAGCAGCUGGCUGGAUGCUGGGGCCAUUUACUGAGAACCAGCCUAGGAGAGCAAUGUUUCGGGGGUGAUGGUGGGGUGGGGUAUCUAGAGUUCUUUUUAAAUUUCAGAUGCCUUUUCUGCAUCCAAGAGGCAAUGUCUUGUGAACAGAUAGAAACAGGAGUCUGGGAAUCAGAGAAAAGGUGGGACCUGGGUAACUAUGCCCAUCCUUCUGUCUACACAUCCAUCUGUCUCUCUUUCAGUGUCAAGGUCAUGGAUGCUGUUUAAGCCAGGAGAGAUGAAGAAGAUGCCGAGGCUGACCUUUGUGGUACUCCAAAUUUUAGUGAUCUUCACAUUAGAGAUGUCCAGCCAAGGUGACAGAAAAGGAGCAGCCAGAAAGGCAGGAGAAAGAUCAAAGUAACCGAUGUCAUGGAAGCCAAGAGAAGAGAUGCUUCAGGAGGAAGGAAGAGUUGAAGUGUUACCGAAGAGCCAAGAACAUUAGCCCUGAGCUAACAUCUGCUGCCAAUCUCCCUCUUUUUGCUGAGGAAGACUGGAACUGAGCUAACAUGCGUGCCCAUCUUCCUCUACUUUAUAUGUGGGACGCCUGCUACAGCAUGGCUUGACAAGUGGUCGUGAAGCUCCAGGGAAAGAGAACUUUAUUGGAUUGUAUCCAUGAUUGAAAAAGCCUUCCUUCCAUUUUUAACAUCAAUCUGGGGAAUGAUCAAUUGCUAAACUUUGAAAAUACUCUAUUCAUUGAGCACGUACGCCAUCCACAGUCACUGAGGAGGAGAGAAAGGGAGCCUGGAAGAUCCUGGAGGAUAAAAGUGCUUUUCCAAGAGGCAUUUGGACCAUUAAACUAUGAUGGGAUGGAUUUAGGCUCUGAGAAAAGCCCUGCAGGGAAUGCCGUCAUUCUGCAUCCCAUCUCCCUCUCUACCACCUGCAGUCCACCACUCCCCACCCACCGAACCUCUGCGGCCCAGCCCAGCCCAGCCCGAAGCCGUGUCUCCAUGGCUCUGCCAAGGCCGAAAGCCAGGUUACACGACCAUUCUGUUCCAGGAGCAUUGUCUUAAACCACAAUGGGAUUCCUUCACAUCUACAGGUUUUCUGCUUGUCUAGACUAUAAGAAUCUAUGUUAAUUAGGUGGAUCUAUUUGUACCGACAUGAAAAGAUGUCCAAGAUACAUUAAGUGAAAAAAAUUUGCAAAACUGUGUCCAUAAUAUAACAUUUUGUUAAAAUAUUUAUAUUUACAUACAUAUUAAUUCAUGGAACCUGAUGUUAAAAUUGAAGUUUCAGUGAAAUUGACAAGGUAUGUUAGAUACCAGACAGCACAUGAAGGGUGACACAGGUUACCCUGGAGGAAUCUUUAAAGGAAAUCUUGAAAACUGGCUCUGGGACCCUUGAAUCCUCUGACCCAGAGGAUUUCUUGAAUAUAACAAAGUGGAGAUAGAGGGUUUUGUGUGGAAAUUUCUUUGAAGAGUUCUGCUACCGCGGGCCAGGAGCUGGGAAGUGCGAGGUCCUGUAUCUGAAGCCCCGAGAGGAUGGGCUCCUACCGACAAUUAGAGAGCUUGGUUUGUGUUUCUUGGAGUUGAGAGACACCAGGGAUUAGUGCCUGAUUCAUGCCUCAGGAAGCAAAAGGGGCUUGUGACAGGGCAGAGAGAGUGGAGGGCUGUGUUUGAGAAGUAACUGUGCUCCCGUCUAUCCAUGGGCAUGACUGUUCUCACAGAUCCUGGGCCACAAGGGAGAGAGAGCCAGCCUGCAGGACCUAAGGUCCAUUUUAAGUCCAAAAGGAGUGCUGGGGAGGGCCAGUGAACUCCUUCAGUGAGAAUCGGAGUGAGGAGUGGGUCCUCAGAGAGCUGAGGGCUGAAAUGGGCUUUAGUCAGUAAAGGAGAGGCAUCACCCAGGCCUGAGGGCCUAGCAGGGGACCUCCAAGAUGCCUCAGAAACAGCCUGGAGAGGGGUAUGACCCUCAGCAUUUGUGGCCCAGAGAGCAGCAGUCAGCAGCCAAGGAAGGAGGUCUGUCUGUCCUCUCACCUCACUUCCCCAACCCCUUGACUCUGCCAAGUGAGCAAGUGGGGAAGAGGGGAAAAGAGAAAGAAAACCAGACCCCACUACCUUCAGGAGAGGAAAAGUCUCUCCUUUAACGAAGUCUGAAUUGAUGAAUAAAACCUUGGACUGGAUACCUACUUUCUGAUUCAAUGCUGUAUUUUGCAAUUGCAUAACAGUCUACUAUCUAAAAACUGAGGAAGAAAAUUGAGGAGACUGCCAAGUUUUCAGCCAGUGGUAGGGGAAAAUCUCCCUACUGAAUAAACUUUAAAGGGGUAGAGGGAAACAAAAAUACAGUGGGGGUUUCUAUGACACUCCUUUAUUGUGCUUUGGAGAGACUAGUUUCUCAUAAACAAGGUAGGAUGUCAGAAGGAGGAUGCAUCACUUUGGUUAUCUCUGAGGGGCGGGGACGUGGGAGUUGUUCAUUUUUUCUCUUAUCUACUUCCAUUAUGUUUGAAUUAUGUAAACAGAGCAUGGUUACUUUUGUAAUCAGAAAAGCUAUGAUGAUAAAUGUGCCCAUCCAAAAUAUAAGGGGAAAAAUCAACACCACGUGUAAAAUAUUAUUGGCUAGAAAGAGAGCAAGCUGAAAAAUGAAAUAAUCAUCGUUGCUAACAUUUGUAGAAUGCGUUACAUUUUACAAAACAUUUUCACUUUAAUGAUCUCAUUUGAUUGUUACAGCAACUCUGGAGUUAGGUUUUGAAUUAUUCACAGUGUGCAGAUGUAGAAACAGAGUGUCAUAAUUGUUGGUUACUUUGCUUAGCUGACAACACUUGCUGGUGAAGAGAAGGCUUGAGUUUGUCUUCUGGCCAUGAGUCCCAUAUUCUUCCUAUUUCACAAUACCCACUGCUGGACAGCAAGGACGUUUUGUUGUCAGGAGGUAUUCGCUCGCCCACUCCCAAUGGACCGCACUUGGAGCCCUACUGGGCCUGACAUGAUAAAGCCACAUUAACGCAGCCUGCAUUGACAGUACUGUUCCGAACAAUAUUCCACUUCCCUCUCUAAGCAUGCAAUCUCUAUAUGCUUAACACCUCACCUUUCUCCUCACCUUCCAACUGAUAUUCUUGCUGAGUUCCAUACCUGUUGAUGACCCAAUUGUUUUUCCAGUAUCACAGUCCUAACUUCAUUUUUCUUUGAUUUCUCCUUCUCAUUUUAUUCCAUACUUGGUCAUUUUUAAGUCUUUUUUUUUCCGAGGAAGAUUAGCCCUGAGCUAACAUCUGCCAAUACUCCUCUUUUUGCUGAGGAAGACUGGCCCUGAGCUAACAUCCAUGCCCAUCUUCCUCCACUUUGUAUGGGGGACGCCUGCCACAGCAUGGCUUACCAUGUGGUGCCAUGUCCACACCCAGGAUCCAAACCGUGAACCCGGGCCCCCAGGAAGCAGAACAUGUGCACUUAACCGCUGCGCCACCAGUCCAGCCCCUUAAGUCUUUUUGAUUGUCUCCUAGAGGAGCUCACAGGUCUGUCCAUAACCCAUUUCCAUGGGCUGGAUCCUCCCCACUUGGUUCAGACAUGUAAUUUUCUAAGCAGCUCGUUGCCAAUCAUCCAUUUUUUAAAUUACCCUUUUCUGGAAGCUUCGUCUGACCACAGAGGUUUCUAGCCUUUGUGUUCCGAUGGUACACUGCACAGCGUGUUAUAAUGGCCUGUUUACAUCACUCUCCAGCCCCUCGCUCCCA